RNAcentral lists this ribosomal RNA (404 nucleotides) under Fusobacteriota bacterium. Its description in RNAcentral is "Fusobacteria bacterium partial 16S ribosomal RNA". It matches the Rfam family "Bacterial small subunit ribosomal RNA", at positions 355 to 776 of the family's 1533-position model. Lineage: Bacteria; Fusobacteriati; Fusobacteriota. The record is from RNAcentral.
UGGGGAAUAUUGCACAAUGGAGGGAACUCUGAUGCAGCGACGCCGCGUGAGUGAUGAAGGAAUUCGUUUCGUAAAACUCUGUUCUAUGGGAAGAAAAGGACUGCACCAUAGGAGAAAGCUCCGGCUAAUUACGUGCCAGCAGCCGCGGUAAUACGUAUGGAGCGAGCGUUGUCCGGAAUUAUUGGGCGUAAAGGGUGCGCAGGCGGCUUUACAAGUUGGAUGUGAAAUAUUGUGGCUCAACCACAAACGUGCAUCCAAAACUGCAAAGCUUGAGUUAAGGAGAGGGAAGUGGAAUUCCUGGUGUAGCGGUGGAAUGCGUAGAUAUCAGGAGGAAUACCGGUGGCGAAGGCGACUUACUGGACUUAAACUGACGCUCAGGCACGAAAGCGUGGGGAGCAAACAGG